CCUACGGGGGGCAGCAGUAGGGAAUCUUCCACAAUGGGCGAAAGCCUGAUGGAGCAACGCCGCGUGGGUGAAGAAGGUCUUCGGAUCGUAAAACCCUGUUGUUAGAGAAGAAAGUGCGUGAGAGUAACUGUUCACGUUUCGACGGUAUCUAACCAGAAAGCCACGGCUAACUACGUGCCAGUAGCCGCGGUAAUACGUAGGUGGCAAGCGUUAUCCGGAUUGAUUGGGCGUAAAGGGAACGCAGGCGGUCUUUUAAGUCUGAUGUGAAAGCCUUCGGCUUAACCGGAGUAGUGCAUUGGAAACUGGGAGACUUGAGUGCAGAAGAGGAGAGUGGAACUCCAUGUGUAGCGGUGAAAUGCGUAGAUAUAUGGAAGAACACCAGUGGCGAAAGCGGCUCUCUGGUCUGUAACUGACGCUGAGGUUCGAAAGCGUGGGUAGCAAACAGGAUUAGAUACCCCAGUAGUC
This 465-nucleotide ribosomal RNA is filed under the name uncultured bacterium. RNAcentral describes it as "partial 16S ribosomal RNA". It matches the Rfam family "Bacterial small subunit ribosomal RNA", at positions 338 to 795 of the family's 1533-position model. The record is from RNAcentral.